Anguilla rostrata (American eel) is the source of this 363-nucleotide long non-coding RNA. RefSeq lists it as uncharacterized. NCBI's taxonomy places the organism in Eukaryota, Metazoa, Chordata, Actinopteri, Anguilliformes, Anguillidae. The transcript is spliced from 3 exons. The record is from RefSeq and is a predicted model, not a curated record.
UGUGAUUGGAUGGGUAAGAGAAGAGUGUUAUGUGUAUGCAAUUGGAUGAUUGUGGAAACGCGCGGGUAUGCGGUUAAUGGAGCCAAGCGAUUGGUCAGCUGCGAUUUUUGAGUUUCCUGACAGAACUUUCUUUGCGCAUUCUGUGCGCAGCGCUGAUUCAUUUCUAACUCUGCUGGGUGUACAAGAGAGAAACUGCGCAAAUGGUUCAGUACACAUUGUGUAAAACAGAUUCUUCUGGGAUACUCUGGAUAAAGCUACUGAUCCAGCAGUCACUGGAGUCCAGCUCUUUUGAAGAGAAGAGUUCAGAGAAAUUAUCUUCCUCAAAAAAGCCACCCCUCCAGGAGGGGGAUUCCCCUAGAAGAC